This 90-nucleotide transfer RNA is filed under the name Couchioplanes azureus. Its description in RNAcentral is "Couchioplanes caeruleus subsp. azureus tRNA-Gly". Lineage: Bacteria; Bacillati; Actinomycetota; Actinomycetes; Micromonosporales; Micromonosporaceae. The record is from RNAcentral.
GGCGCCCUGGACGGCCGGCGCGUCCCGGUGGCCACCGUCGACCCGCUGGGGCGCCCGGUGCGCGGCGAGGUCCUGCUCGUGGGCGCCACC